RNA transcript from Quercus lobata, 2620 nucleotides. It is a transcript of the gene named G-type lectin S-receptor-like serine/threonine-protein kinase SD1-13, with no coding region annotated. The record is from RefSeq and is a predicted model, not a curated record. The transcript is spliced from 7 exons. Lineage: Eukaryota; Viridiplantae; Streptophyta; Magnoliopsida; Fagales; Fagaceae.
GUUAGAUAAAGACGGAGUCCCUAUUCUGCACUCAAACAAACCAGUAGUUUCUAACAAGCUAUGGAACUACUUAGCAAGAUAAACUUUUUGUCUGUCUUUUGUUGCCUUUGUUUAAACUUAGGCGUUGCUAGAGACACCAUUAUAUCUCCACAAUCCAUCAGAGACCCAGACUACAUAAUCUCCAAUGGGAGUGCUUUCAAACUGGGAUUCUUUAGCCCAGUAAAUUCUACUAAUCGCUACCUUGGAAUAUGGUAUAAUAGAAUAUCUGUAUUCACUGUCGUAUGGGUAGCAAACAGAGAGAAACCCCUCAAGGAUUCUUCUGGGGUACUUACUAUAUCAGAGGACGGCAAUCUUGUAGUAUUAGAUGGACAAAAGGAGAUUCUUUGGUCAUCAAAUGUUACAAACUGUGUUGCCAUUUCAAAUUUCCACCUUUCGGAUUCAGGGAACCUCGUCUUGCGAGAAAACACUAGAGGGAAAAUCAUAUGGGAGAGUUUCCAACAUCCCUCUAAUACAUUCUUGCCAAAGAUGAAACUUAGUAUCAAUUUAAGGACAAAUCAGACAGUACAGUAUACAUCAUGGAAAAGCCCUUCUGAUCCAUCCAUUGGAAGUUUCUCUGUAGGCAUGGCUCCAGGGAGCAUUCCUGAAGCUUUCAUAUGGAAAGAUGGUCGUCCAUACUGGCGGAGUGGUCCAUGGAAUGGUCAGAUCUUUAUUGGUGAACCUGACUGGAAUGCAGAAUAUCAUAAUGGAUUUAAUCUAGUAGAUGACAAAGAAGGUACGGUUUAUGCAACUUUUGAUUAUGCAAAUGUGUUGCCUCUAUCAAAAUUUGUGUUGAAUUCACAAGGAAAUCUAGUGCAGACAUAUUGGGAUGAUAGCAAGGAGGAUUGGAAGGUUGUGGGGUUAGCACCAAAAGAUGAGUGUGAUGUUUAUGGCACUUGUGGUGCAUUUGGAAGCUGUGAUUCGCAGAGGAAACCAAUCUGUAGCUGUAUUAGAGGGUUUGAGCCAAAGAUUAUUGAGGAAUGGAACAGAGGAAAUUGGACAAGUGGGUGUAUUAGGAGGGCAGCAUUGCAGUGUCAAAGGGUGAAUAAUAGUGGUGAAGAAGGAAAAGCAGAUGGGUUCUUGAAACUGAAGAUGUUCAAAGUGCCAGACUUUAUGGAGAGGUCAUAUGGGGCUAAAGAGAGUUGUCGAAAGCAGUGCUUGGAGAACUGUGCUUGUGUAGCUUAUGCACAUGAUGCUGGAAUUGGUUGUAUGUCAUGGAGUGGAAACUUAAUUGACCUAAGGAAAUUCUCCAUUCGUGGAUCAGAUAUAUAUAUUCGUCUGGCCUAUUCCGAAUUCAACAAAGAGAGAUAUUUGAAAGUAAUCAUCAGAAUUACACUGAUUAUUGGAGUGAUUGCCAUUGCCCGCACGGCAUGCUACUUAUGGAGAUGGACUGCUAAAAAGCCAGGUACUAUGUCUAUUAUGUUGACAGCGGCCUGACUUUUCUUUAAAAUUGGAAAAAUUAAAAGCAGGAAGAGCUUGCUGCUUGACUACUUGAACGAUGUUAAACUCAAUGAGCUGACAGUUUUCAGUUUGAAAGAAGUGGCAACUGCAACAAACAACUUUCACGUAUCUAAUAUGCUUGGGAGAGGUGGCUUUGGUUCAGUCUAUAAGGGAAAAUUGCAUGAUGGACAGGAAAUAGCAGUGAAAAGACUGUCAACAUCCUCUCGACAAGGGCUUGAAGAAUUUCUGAAUGAGGUGGUGGUGAUUUCUAAACUCCAACAUCGAAAUCUUGUUAGACUUAUUGGCUAUUGCACUGAGGGAGAAGAAAAGGUGUUGAUCUAUGAGUACAUGCCAAACAAAAGUUUGGACGUAAUUGUUUUUGAUCCACUCAACCAAAGACUCCUUGAUUGGAAAAAGCGCUUCAACAUUAUUGAAGGAAUUGGUCGAGGUCUGCUAUACCUUCAUAGGGAUUCUAGAAUGAAGAUUAUUCAUAGAGAUCUAAAGGCAAGUAAUAUCUUGUUAGAUGAAGACUUGAAUCCAAAAAUAGCGGAUUUUGGAAUUGCUAGAAUUUUCGAUGGCAUUGAAAAUCAAGCUAAUACUAAAAGGGUUAUUGGGACAUACGGAUAUAUGUCUCCUGAAUAUGCAAUGCAAGGACUUUUUUCAGUGAAAUCAGAUGUUUUUAGUUUUGGUGUAUUGAUACUAGAGAUUGUUAGUGGGAGAAAAAACACUAGCUUUUACAAUGAUGAACAGUACUACUUGAGCCUUGUAGGAUUUGCAUGGAAAUUGUGGAAUGAUGGCAAUAGUAUGGCUUUGAUCGAACCAGCAAUAUGGGAUCCUUGCUUUCGAAUGGAGAUGUUGAGAUGCAUACAUGUGGGAUUGCUAUGUGUACAAGAAACGGCAAGAGAUAGGCCUACUAUCUCUACUGUUAUUUCGAUGCUUAAUAGUGAUAUCAUGGAUCUUCCCUUUCCUAAGCAACCUGCAUUCACCGAAAGGCAAAUUGCUUCAAAUUGUGAGCCUGCUCAACAAGGCCAAAUAAGAAUCUCCACUUGCAAUGUCACUCUUACGACGAUUUAUGGCAGAUAAGAGUAAAGUUCUUGAGAUAAAUCUCUCUAAAUUUAUGCCCAUCCAUUACUUUAAAAAUAAA